RNAcentral lists this transfer RNA (82 nucleotides) under Candidatus Kaiserbacteria bacterium. RNAcentral describes it as "tRNA-Leu". It matches the Rfam family "tRNA". Rfam says of the family: Transfer RNA (tRNA) molecules are approximately 80 nucleotides in length. Their secondary structure includes four short double-helical elements and three loops (D, anti-codon, and T loops). Further hydrogen bonds mediate the characteristic L-shaped molecular structure. tRNAs have two regions of fundamental functional importance: the anti-codon, which is responsible for specific mRNA codon recognition, and the 3' end, to which the tRNAs corresponding amino acid is attached (by aminoacyl-tRNA synthetases). tRNAs cope with the degeneracy of the genetic code in two manners: having more than one tRNA (with a specific anti-codon) for a particular amino acid; and 'wobble' base-pairing, i.e. permitting non-standard base-pairing at the 3rd anti-codon position. The record is from RNAcentral. Lineage: Bacteria; Candidatus Kaiseribacteriota.
GCCCAGGUGAUGAAAUUGGUAAACAUGCACGCUUGAGGGGCGUGUGCUUCACGGCUUGCUGGUUCAACUCCAGUCCUGGGCA